UUGGAGGGCAAGUCUGGUGCCAGCAGCCGCGGUAAUUCCAGCUCCAAUAGCGUAUAUUAAAGUUGUUGCAGUUAAAAAGCUCGUAGUUGAAUUUCGGGGUCAGUAGGUUGGUCAUGCCACUGGUAUGUACUGGUCUCACUGAUUCCUCCUUCCUGAUGAGCCGUAAUGCCAUUAAUUUGGUGUUGCGAGGAAUCUGGACUGUUACUUUGAAAAAAUUAGAGUGUUUAAAGCAAGCUAACGCUUGAAUACAUUAGCAUGGAAUAAUGAAAUAGGACGUUCGAUCCUAUUUUGUUGGUUUCUAGGAUUGACGUAAUGAUUAAUAGGGAUAGUUGGGGGCAUUAGUAUUCAAUUGUCAGAGGUGAAAUUCUUGGAUUUAUUGAAGACUAACUACUGCGAAAGCAUUUGCCAAGGACGUUUUCAUUAAUCAAGAACGAAAGUUAGGGGAUCGAAGACGAUCAGAUACCGUCGUAGUCUUAACCAUAAACUAUGCCGACUAGGGAUCGGAUGAUGUUAAUUUUUUAAUGACUCAUUCGGCGCCUUACGGGAAACCAAAGUGUUUGGGUUC
RNAcentral lists this ribosomal RNA (565 nucleotides) under uncultured Glomeromycotina. RNAcentral's name for it is "SSU rRNA". It matches the Rfam family "Eukaryotic small subunit ribosomal RNA", at positions 548 to 1114 of the family's 1831-position model. Lineage: Eukaryota; Fungi; Glomeromycota. The record is from RNAcentral.